UAGGGAAUCUUCGGCAAUGGGGGGAACCCUGACCGAGCAACGCCGCGUGAGUGAAGAAGGUUUUCGGAUCGUAAAGCUCUGUUGUUAAGGAAGAACGAGUGUGAGAAUGGAAAGUUCAUACUGUGACGGUACUUAACCAGACAGGGACGGCUAACUACGUGCCAGCAGCCGCGGUAAUACGUAGGUCCCGAGCGUUUUCCGGAUUUAUUGGGCGUAAAGCGAGCGCAGGCGGUUAGAUAAGUCUGAAGUUAAAGGCAGUGGCUCAACCAUAGAAGGCUUUGGAAACUGUUUAACUUGAGUGCAGGAGGGGAGAGUGGAAUUCCAGGUGUAGCGGUGAAAUGCGUAGAUAUAUGGAGGAACACCAGUGGCGAAGGCGGCUCUCUGGGCUGUAACUGACGCUGAGGCUCGAAAGCGUGGGGAGCGAACAGG
This 429-nucleotide ribosomal RNA is filed under the name Bacteroidota bacterium. RNAcentral's name for it is "Bacteroidetes bacterium partial 16S ribosomal RNA". It matches the Rfam family "Bacterial small subunit ribosomal RNA", at positions 355 to 776 of the family's 1533-position model. The record is from RNAcentral. Lineage: Bacteria; Pseudomonadati; Bacteroidota.